CUCCCAAGAAAAUCCGCUAAACUUAAUCUUACAGGUACCCGUACCGUAAACGGACACACGUAGUCGGGUUGAAUAUACUCAGGCGCUUGAGUGAAUCACGGUUAAGGAACUAGGCAAAUUGACCCUGUAACUUCGGGAUAAAGGGUCCCUACCCGGUGACGGGAGGGCGCAGAGAAUAGGUCCAGGCAACUGUUUAACAAAAACACAGGGCUGUGCAAAAUUGAAAGAUCACGUAUACAGCCUGACACCUGCCCGGUGCUGGAAGGUUAAGAGGAGAUGUCAUCGCAAGAGAAGCAUUGAAUUGAAGCCCCAGUAAACGGCGGCCGUAACUAUAACGGUCCUAAGGUAGCGAAAUUCCUUGUCGGGUAAGUUCCGACCUGCACGAAUGGUGUAAUGAUCUGGACACUGUCUCAACCGUGAGCUCAGUGAAAUUGUAGUAUCGGUGAAGAUGCCGAUUACCCGCGAUGGGACGAAAAGACCCCGUGAACCUUUACUAUAGCUUAACAUUGAAUUUGGGUAAUUGAUGUGUAGGAUAGGCCGGAGACUUUGAAGCAGGCACGCCAGUGUUUGUGGAGCCGCUGUUGAAAUACGGCCCUUUGGUUAUUUGAGUUCUAACUCGCUGAUGCGAGGACACUGUUUGGUGGGUAGUUUGACUGGGGUGGUCGCCUCCAAAAGCGUAACGGAGGCUUCUAAAGGUGCCCUCACGCCGAUUGGUAACCGGCGGUAGAGUGUAAUGGCAUAAGGGCGCUUGACUGGGAGACUUACAAGUCGAUCAGGUAGGAAACUAGAGCAUAGUGAUCCGGUGUUUCCGUAUGGAAGGGACAUCGCUCAAAGGAUAAAAGGUACUCCGGGGAUAACAGGCUGAUCCCUCCCAAGAGCUCAUAUCGACGGAGGGGUUUGGCACCUCGAUGUCGGCUCGUCACAUCCUGGGGCUGGAGAAGGUCCCAAGGGUUGGGCUGUUCGCC
This 965-nucleotide ribosomal RNA is filed under the name human gut metagenome. Its description in RNAcentral is "bacterial LSU rRNA". It matches the Rfam family "Bacterial large subunit ribosomal RNA", at positions 1605 to 2585 of the family's 2925-position model. The record is from RNAcentral.